RNAcentral lists this ribosomal RNA (327 nucleotides) under uncultured eukaryote. RNAcentral's name for it is "partial 18S ribosomal RNA". It matches the Rfam family "Eukaryotic small subunit ribosomal RNA", at positions 1470 to 1796 of the family's 1831-position model. The record is from RNAcentral.
CCCCUAGAUGUCCUGGGCCGCACGCGCAAUACAAUGUAAAGUUCAGAAAGCAUAUCCUGUUCCGGAAGGCAAUGGGUAAUCUUUUCAAUAUUUUACGUGUUAGGGAUCGAUCUUUGCAAUUAUAGAUCUUGAACGAGGAAUACCUAGUAAGUGCAGCUCAUCAGGCUGUACUGAUUACGUCCCUGCCCUUUGUACACACCGCCCGUCGCUACUACUGAUUGGAUGUUUAAGCGAGGUUCUCGAACUGCUAGCGACUUAGCUUCGGUGAGGUCGCAGUGUGGGAAGUGAACCUAGCUUUGGUGUCUAGAGGAAGUAAAAGUCGUAACA